GUUUGUUUCUAUGUCUCUCUCCCCUCCCUUUUCUUUCUUGCUUUCUUUUGCAUCGAGGUCCCCCCCCCAUCUCAUUCCUCUCUCCCAUAAGGGAAUUUAUUUUAAACAUAGAAUUCUAUAUCUAAUUAAACUACAAAUGUGAGGGAAGAAUAAGAAAUUUGUCAGACAUGGAAAGGCUCAAAAAAUGCACCUCCCAGGCUCCCUGUCUUAGGAAGUCACAGUCAGUAACCAACGGUUUCGAGUAGCUAGAAACACAGCGGGCCUGGAGAACAAUGGGUCCACAUUGGAGCCAAAAGAUGGAAGUUGCAAGAAGGAGCAGCCCGGGGAGAACAGAAUCCACAAGAUUCGAAACUGGCUUCGAGAAGACGAUUAAAGCACAGAAGAAAGAAGUGAAUCGAAACGUCAGAGAGAAACAAAAAUCCUGACCCUUCAGUCAAUUACCUCUGGGAUCUUUGCUGGCUGGGUAACUUCGUCACUAUAAAAUAAGGGUAACCACAGCCCUUUCUCAGGGGCUGUCGAAGAUGGAAGUUAGUUAAAAAUCGCAGAGCGGUUAAAAAGGGCCCACCGUGAGGAAGGAAGGGGGUGUCAACCGGAUGAAGGAAAAUGAAGCUGGAGGGUUCCCUUGCGUCGUGACGGGGUAAGGAUCCGGCCAUCCGUUUUUCUAAAAAAGAAAAGAAAAAUGACUCUUGGCCCUACUCUUAACAGUAAUACUAACAUUGCUUUAAAAAAAAAAAAAAAGCUAUUUAGAUUCAGCAGUUGGGCAGUGUACACAUUUUCUUACUUAUGGGCACAGAGCAGGAUGGGAGUCUUAUCAACAUCAAAAACAGAAAAGUCAAACCAGAAAUAACAGGAGGUGGGAGGCAGAAUGAGGAAGAGGGCAGAGGGCACACGCGUCUCACAAAACACCAGAUGAGUCCAGAGAUACUGUGUGAAGCAGAAACGAAAGCAGAGGUUGGGAGGGAGCCCUUAAAGCUACGAAGGGAUCAAAGCAGAAACUGGAGUCCUGGUGCUGCGGCCAGAGCAGGAAGGAAGGAGACCCAGAAACGCACGAUCCCCUGCUGCCAGGCAGAGGCCGGAGGUAACAUCUCAGAUCGCUCCUCAAGAAAGAACCGCAGGGCAUAUUAGUGAGCAAUAUGAAGACAAAUCCCAGGAAAAUGAAAAACAGAAACAGCAAUAAUUGAAUUGAAAUGAUUUCCCUCUGUGGAGCAGGAUUGCAACAGCAGAACAGAGGGGCGGGAAGCUGCUGCUUCUGGGUCAUGAAACCCUCUGUGUGAUUUGAAAGUGUUUACUCACGUGCAUGUCCUACCUGGAAGCAACGUGAAAGCUUUUUAAAAAGACAUAUUCAGAAUUUUUCGUGAGACAGUAGUGCAACUAUCCCUGUUCUGGAGUGGUCCCUGGACCUGGCCAUCCCUGGAAUCUUCAAUUGUUUUCAUCUCCUUAAAGAUUACCUUUCUCUGACACUGGGGAGGAGGUUGGGACAUUGAACAAAUAUGUUUAAGUUUGAAGGGGUACAAACUAAGAGCUUUGCUAGGGAGUCUUCAAGCCUUGGUCUCCCCGUUAGCAUUAUAUUUUUCCCCCCUUGGUCAAGAAUUGGCACGUUUGCACCGUAAUUAAAGCUUUCUAAAGCCUCCAGAAGCUUCUGCCAUUGCGACAAUUUCUCACAUACACCUUGGUUUUCUUUCCUGGUCGGGAUGCGCGGAAGCGAGGAGGAAUAGGAGGCCUCCUUGACACUCUCGGGGGUCGCUGGGCUCCGUAACAGAGCGGAGUCUCAGCGUCUGAGUGCGGGGGGGAGGCCAGUGGAAGCGGACACACAGCGAAGACCCCGGGCUCCUGCGGACCAGCGCACGGGGACCAAGGGACACAGGGAGACAACUCUGCCCUCUUCAGCAUGCUGCUCCCAAGUGCCAGGCAAUCCUGUGCCACCGCAGGUUAAAUCACUGCAGUCUCUGCUCCAGUCUGCAGAGAAAUCCCGCCAUUCUGUAGAUGUUGUCUCCCUGGGCGCCCACUCCCUAUUUCAGACAAGGCCAAUCUGCCAUGAGAAAGAGCAAGGAUAAGAAGCAGAAAGAGAGCUGCACCCUACGCAGCCUUAUUUUUUAUUUAUUUAUUUUUUUUUGGAGGUUCCCAGGCUAGAGGUCGAAUCGGAGCUGUAGCCGCUGGCCUACACCACAGUCACAGCCACGCCAGAUCCCAGCCACGUCUGCAACCUACACCAUAGCUCACGGCAAUGCCGGAUGCUUCACCCACUGAGUGAGGCCAGGGAUCGAACCCGAUGAGUUAAGGAUCUUGCAUUGCCAUGAGACGUGGCGUAGGUCACAAAUUCGGAUUGGAUCCUGCAUUGCCGUGGCUGUGGUGGAGGCUGGCAGCUGCAGCUCUGAUUCGACCCCUAGUCUGGGAACUUCCAUAUGCUGCGGAUGCGGCCCGAAAAAGAAAAAGAAAAAAAAGUUAUAGGGAAACAAAUGUCACGACCUCUUCCAUAGCAUCUCCUCAUUAUCAUAAAACCGUGUUCUCAGGGGCAACUUGUAGAAAUGUAAUUUCCAUCAGAUGUAAACGGAGGAGUUGCUGGGCUUGAGCCAGAGGCGGAUGAGGAUGGAAGCACAGAUAUAAAUUCCCACAGGAGCUGGCUUUGUGAUAUUCAGCUUCUGCUCUACCGGGUGCGCCGUAAAUCACUUGGUCCAUAUUCCUUCAUUUCCCUUCGCAGCUAUGUGAGCCCCGGCCCUUCUGCACCACACUUACGGGGCCACCAGCUUCUCCGCACUCGGAGGUCACAAAUGUUUCAGUCUGCAGCUUAAUGAUUUGUACACUUGGAUGACAAAACCAAGCGCCAAGAAACCCAAAUGGCAUCAGUCCCUUUAGGACAGGAUAUGGCUCCUGGAAAACUGCCAUGAUUUCUAACAACCUUUAUAACCAUGGAGCCAGAGGACAAGGAAAGGAAAUUAGGACUCAUUUACAUGUGACCUGAUUUAAAAAACCUGAGUCAUAGAAAUGUUUUGCCCUUAUCCGCAUCUGGAAAUGCUCAAUUUUUCUAUGUAAAUACAUAUCUAAAGGCCAGUUUUCUGAUUAGCAAAAUAUUAUAAUUUCACAAGAAACUCGCCCUCUGUUGGAUGGAAAGGCUAGCUCUAGUUAUUCCAGAUGCUGAUUAGAAAAUUGCAUUGAAUUCACGGCUAUUCAUUUUCUUUUUAAGAAUGGAAAGGAUUUCUAACUCACAGCUUGUUAAAAUUUGAUAUAUAAUUCACAUACUCUUUUAAAAGUACAUUUCAGGGAGUUCCCGUCGUGGCGCAGUGGUUAACGAAUCCGACUAGGAACCAUGAGGUUGCGGGUUCGGUCCCUGCCCUUGCUCAGUGGGUUAACGAUCCGGUGUUGCCGUGAGCUGUGGUGUAGGUUGCAGACGCGGCUCGGAUCCCGCGCUGCUGUGGCUCUGGCACAGGCUGGUGGCCACAGCUCCGAUUGGACCCCUAGCCUGGGAACCUCCAUAUGCCUCGGGAGCGGCCCUAGAAAAGGCAAAAAGACAAAAAAGAAAAAAAAAAA
RNAcentral lists this long non-coding RNA (3525 nucleotides) under Sus scrofa (pig). RNAcentral describes it as "lncRNA (ENSSSCG00055004410.1)". The record is from RNAcentral. Lineage: Eukaryota; Metazoa; Chordata; Mammalia; Artiodactyla; Suidae.